RNAcentral lists this ribosomal RNA (434 nucleotides) under uncultured bacterium. Its description in RNAcentral is "partial 16S ribosomal RNA". It matches the Rfam family "Bacterial small subunit ribosomal RNA", at positions 29 to 507 of the family's 1533-position model. The record is from RNAcentral.
AGCGAACGCUGGCGGCAGGCCUAACACAUGCAAGUCGAACGAACCUUUCGGGGUUAGUGGCGGACGGGUGAGUAACACGUGGGAACGUGCCUUUAGGUUCGGAAUAACUCAGGGAAACUUGUGCUAAUACCGAAUGUGCCCUUCGGGGGAAAGAUUUAUCGCCUUUAGAGCGGCCCGCGUCUGAUUAGCUAGUUGGUUGAGGUAAUGGCUCACCAAGGCGACGAUCAGUAGCUGGUCUGAGAGGAUGAUCAGCCACAUUGGGACUGAGACACGGCCCAAACUCCUACGGGAGGCAGCAGUAGGGAAUCUUGCGCAAUGGGCGAAAGCCUGACGCAGCCAUGCCGCGUGAAUGAUGAAGGUCUUAGGAUUGUAAAAUUCUUUCACCGGGGACGAUAAUGACGGUACCCGGAGAAGAAGCCCCGGCUAACUUCGUG